This 253-nucleotide ribosomal RNA is filed under the name uncultured bacterium. Its description in RNAcentral is "partial 16S ribosomal RNA". It matches the Rfam family "Bacterial small subunit ribosomal RNA", at positions 524 to 776 of the family's 1533-position model. The record is from RNAcentral.
GACGAACCAUGCAAACGUUAUUCGGAUUCACUGGGCUUAAAGCGUGCGUAGGCGGUCUUGUUAGUCAGGUGUGAAAGCCCUCAGCCUAACUGAGGAAUUGCGCUUGAUACUGCAUGACUAGAGAGAGAUAGAGGUGGGUGGAACUGAUGGUGGAGCGGUGAAAUGCGUUGAUAUCAUCAGGAACACCAGUGGCGAAGGCGACCCACUGGGUCUCUUCUGACGCUGAGGUACGAAAGCUAGGGUAGCGAACGGG